GCUACGGGAGGCAGCAGUGAGGAAUAUUGGUCAAUGGCCGGAAGGCUGCACCAGCCAAGCCGCGUGAAGGACGACGGUGCAAAGCAUUGUAACCUUCUUUUGUCAAGGGACAAAAUCAGGCUCGAGAGCCUGACCGAGGGUACUUGAGGAAAAAGCAUCGGCUAACUCCGUUCCAGCACCCGCGGUACUACGGAGGAUUCGACCGUUAGCCGGAUUUAUUGGGUUUAAAGGGUGCGUAGGCGGACUGUUAAGUCAGCGGUAAAAGCCCGGGGCUCAACCCCGGCGAGCCUUUGAAACUGGCUGUCUUGAGAUGUCGAGAGGUAUGCGGAAUGCGCAGUGUAGCGGUGAAAUGCUUAGAUAUUGCGCAGAACUCCGAUUGCGAAGGCAGCAUACCGGCGGCGAUCUGACGCUGAGGCACGAAAGCGUGGGUAUCGAACAGGAUUAGAUACCCGAGUAGUC
Molecule: ribosomal RNA, 459 nt
Filed under: uncultured bacterium
Lineage: Bacteria
Description: partial 16S ribosomal RNA
Rfam family: Bacterial small subunit ribosomal RNA
Source: RNAcentral